RNAcentral lists this ribosomal RNA (497 nucleotides) under uncultured bacterium. RNAcentral describes it as "partial 16S ribosomal RNA". It matches the Rfam family "Bacterial small subunit ribosomal RNA", at positions 28 to 507 of the family's 1533-position model. The record is from RNAcentral.
GAUGAACGCUGGCGGCGUGCCUAAUACAUGCAAGUCGAGCGAACAGAUGAGGAGCUUGCUCCUCUGACGUUAGCGGCGGACGGGUGAGUAACACGUGGAUAACCUACCUAUAAGACUGGGAUAACUUCGGGAAACCGGAGCUAAUACCGGAUAAUAUAUUGAACCGCAUGGUUCAAUAGUGAAAGACGGUUUUGCUGUCACUUAUAGAUGGAUCCGCGCCGCAUUAGCUAGUUGGUAAGGUAACGGCUUACCAAGGCAACGAUGCGUAGCCGACCUGAGAGGGUGAUCGGCCACACUGGAACUGAGACACGGUCCAGACUCCUACGGGAGGCAGCAGUAGGGAAUCUUCCGCAAUGGGUGAAAGCCUGACGGAGCAACGCCGCGUGAGUGAUGGAGGUCUUCGGAUCGUAAAACUCUGUUAUUAGGGAAGAACAAAUGUGUAAGUAACUAUGCACGUCUUGACGGUACCUAAUCAGAAAGCCACGGCUAACUACGUG